AACGAACGCUGGCGGCAUGCCUAACACAUGCAAGUCGAACGAGACCUUCGGGUCUAGUGGCGCACGGGUGCGUAACGCGUGGGAACCUGCCCUUAGGUUCGGAAUAACUCCCCGAAAGGGGUGCUAAUACCGGAUAAUGUCUUCGGACCAAAGAUUUAUCGCCUUUGGAUGGGGCCGCGUUGGAUUAGCUAGUUGGUAGGGUAAAAGCCUACCAAGGCGACGAUCCAUAGCUGGUCUGAGAGGAUGAUCAGCCACACUGGGACUGAGACACGGCCCAGACUCCUACGGGAGGCAGCAGUGGGGAAUAUUGGACAAUGGGCGAAAGCCUGAUACAGCAAUGCCGCGUGAGUGAUGAAGGCCUUAGGGUUGUAAAGCUCUGUUACCCGGGAUGAUAAUGACAGUACCGUGAGAAUAAGCUCCGGCUAACUCCGUG
RNAcentral lists this ribosomal RNA (433 nucleotides) under uncultured bacterium. Its description in RNAcentral is "partial 16S ribosomal RNA". It matches the Rfam family "Bacterial small subunit ribosomal RNA", at positions 29 to 507 of the family's 1533-position model. The record is from RNAcentral.